CCUACGGGGUGCAGCAGUGAGGAAUAUUGGUCAAUGGACGAGAGUCUGAACCAGCCACGUAGCGUGAAGGAUGACUGUUCUAUGGGUUGUAAACUUCUUUUAUAUGGGAAUUAAAUGUUCCACGUGUGGGAUUUUGUCUGUACCAUAUGAAUAAGGAUCGGCUAACUCCGUGCCAGCAGCCGCGGUAAUACGGAGGAUCCGAGCGUUAUCCGGAUUUAUUGGGUUUAAAGGGAGCGUAGGUGGAUUUUUAAGUCAGUUGUGAAAGUUUGCGGCUCAACCGUAAAAUUGCAGUUGAAACUGGCAGUCUUGAGUACAGUAGAGGUAGGCGGAAUUCGUGGUGUAGCGGUGAAAUGCUUAGAGAUCACGAAGAACUCCGAUUGCGAAGGCAGUUCACUGGACUGCAACUGACACUGAGGCUCGAAAGUGUGGGUAUCAAACAGGAUUAGAUACCCUUGUAGUC
RNAcentral lists this ribosomal RNA (460 nucleotides) under uncultured bacterium. Its description in RNAcentral is "partial 16S ribosomal RNA". It matches the Rfam family "Bacterial small subunit ribosomal RNA", at positions 338 to 795 of the family's 1533-position model. The record is from RNAcentral.